UUUUAUGGAGAGUUUGAUCCUGGCUCAGAGUGAACGCUGGCGGCGUGCCUAAUACAUGCAAGUCGAACGAUGAAGCUUCUAGCUUGCUAGAAUGCUGAUUAGUGGCGCACGGGUGAGUAACGCAUAGGUCAUGUGCCUCUUAGUUUGGGAUAGCCAUUGGAAACGAUGAUUAAUACCAGAUACUCCCUACGGGGGAAAGAUUUAUCGCUAAGAGAUCAGCCUAUGUCCUAUCAGCUUGUUGGUAAGGUAAUGGCUUACCAAGGCUAUGACGGGUAUCCGGCCUGAGAGGGUGAACGGACACACUGGAACUGAGACACGGUCCAGACUCCUACGGGAGGCAGCAGUAGGGAAUAUUGCUCAAUGGGGGAAACCCUGAAGCAGCAACGCCGCGUGGAGGAUGAAGGUUUUAGGAUUGUAAACUCCUUUUGUUAGAGAAGAUAAUGACGGUAUCUAACGAAUAAGCACCGGCUAACUCCGUGCCAGCAGCCGCGGUAAUACGGAGGGUGCAAGCGUUACUCGGAAUCACUGGGCGUAAAGAGCGCGUAGGCGGGAUAGUCAGUCAGGUGUGAAAUCCUAUGGCUUAACCAUAGAACUGCAUUUGAAACUACUAUUCUAGAGUGUGGGAGAGGUAGGUGGAAUUCUUGGUGUAGGGGUAAAAUCCGUAGAGAUCAAGAGGAAUACUCAUUGCGAAGGCGACCUGCUGGAACAUUACUGACGCUGAUUGCGCGAAAGCGUGGGGAGCAAACAGGAUUAGAUACCCUGGUAGUCCACGCCCUAAACGAUGGAUGCUAGUUGUUGGAGGGCUUAGUCUCUCCAGUAAUGCAGCUAACGCAUUAAGCAUCCCGCCUGGGGAGUACGGUCGCAAGAUUAAAACUCAAAGGAAUAGACGGGGACCCGCACAAGCGGUGGAGCAUGUGGUUUAAUUCGAAGAUACACGAAGAACCUUACCUAGGCUUGACAUUGAGAGAAUCCGCUAGAAAUAGUGGAGUGUCUGGCUUGCCAGACCUUGAAAACAGGUGCUGCACGGCUGUCGUCAGCUCGUGUCGUGAGAUGUUGGGUUAAGUCCCGCAACGAGCGCAACCCCCUUUCUUAGUUGCUAACAGGUUAUGCUGAGAACUCUAAGGAUACUGCCUCCGUAAGGAGGAGGAAGGUGGGGACGACGUCAAGUCAUCAUGGCCCUUACGCCUAGGGCUACACACGUGCUACAAUGGGGUGCACAAAGAGAAGCAAUACUGCGAAGUGGAGCCAAUCUUCAAAACGCCUCUCAGUUCGGAUUGUAGGCUGCAACUCGCCUGCAUGAAGCUGGAAUCGCUAGUAAUCGCAAAUCAGCCAUGUUGCGGUGAAUACGUUCCCGGGUCUUGUACUCACCGCCCGUCACACCAUGGGAGUUGUGUUUGCCUUAAGUCAGGAUGCUAAAUUAGCUACUGCCCACGGCACACACAGCGACUGGGGUGAAGUCGUAACAAGGUAACCGUAGGUGAACCUGCGGUUGGAUCACCUCCUUUCUAGA
Molecule: ribosomal RNA, 1510 nt
Filed under: Helicobacter pylori
Lineage: Bacteria; Pseudomonadati; Campylobacterota; Epsilonproteobacteria; Campylobacterales; Helicobacteraceae
Description: bacterial SSU rRNA
Rfam family: Bacterial small subunit ribosomal RNA
Source: RNAcentral